UACAGAGGGUGCGAGCGUUAAUCGGAUUUACUGGGCGUAAAGGGCGCGUAGGCGGUUUAGUGAGUGUGAUGUGAAAGCCCCGGGCUUAACCUGGGAAGUGCAUCGCAAACGACUAAACUGGAGUAGGUGAGAGGGUGGCGGAAUUUCCGGUGUAGCGGUGAAAUGCGUAGAGAUCGGAAGGAACGUCAAUGGCGAAGGCAGCCACCUGGCACCAUACUGACGCUGAGGCGCGAAAGCGUGGGGAGCGAACAGG
This 253-nucleotide ribosomal RNA is filed under the name uncultured bacterium. RNAcentral describes it as "partial 16S ribosomal RNA". It matches the Rfam family "Bacterial small subunit ribosomal RNA", at positions 524 to 776 of the family's 1533-position model. The record is from RNAcentral.